AUAGGAGCUGAAAAGCUAUGCGAGUAUGACGGCAAGCUUUACAAACACGGCGAAUCCAUAACCCAAGACAACUGCUCCUAUCUCUGCACAUGUGAUGCAAACUACCCCACACAUCCUGCCUUCUUCUGUGAGCCGCUGUGCACGCGGUUUGUGGACUCAGUGUGCGAGCAGGGCUUUGUGGAGACGCAUGUGAUGGUAGCGGCAGGUCCCGUCGGUUUUGGGUGCAAGUGUCCAAUGAUAAGUGUAGACCUGCUAGGUUGGCUCUAAGUUUGGUUUUUGACGACAAACCAGAAGCAGACGUACUUGAAAUUGUGCCUCCUCCAGAGAGACAGACAGGUACGGUCUGAUUUCAAUGUUUAUCGCUUAUCUCGUUUGACGACAAACCAGACGUACUUGAAAUUGUGCCUACUCUCCAGAGAGAGACAGGUACGGUCUGAUUUUAACGUUUAUCGCUUAUCUCGUUUGACGACAAACCAGAAGCAGACGUACUUGAAAUUGUGCCUCCUCCAGAGAGAGACAGGUACGGUCUGAUUUCAAUGUUUAUCGCUUAUCUCGUUUGACGACAAACCAGACGUACUUGAAAUUGUGCCUACUCUCCAGAGAGAGACAGGUACGGUCUGAUUUUAACGUUUAUCGCUUAUCUCGUUUAUGCCCUGUUCAGAGUGGGUUGGUCAUGCACAAAGUACCAUAACAGGCCAAUCUGCACCUCCCCUUAGCGGCAGCUGUACCUCGCAAAAGCCCUCGAGGACAUUGCGUGACAGAGAACGCCACGACUCUGGAUUUGGCCACCUUGGUCAACGCGACAUUGCAACCGUUACUUAUUCCGACUACGAUGGUUGGUUUUGUUAUUCUGAACAACCUACGACAUUAUAAAUGUGUUCUACUUAACUAACAAUGUUCCUCCCCUCACCAGGUAUUCUUCUUGACAGGAGUAACAAAGCUAGAAUUAGCCACUAUGAGAAUUAGAAUAAAUAAAAGUAGCGUAUAAAAGUG
This is a long non-coding RNA of Nematostella vectensis (starlet sea anemone), 993 nucleotides long. RefSeq lists it as uncharacterized. Lineage: Eukaryota; Metazoa; Cnidaria; Anthozoa; Actiniaria; Edwardsiidae. The transcript is spliced from 2 exons. The record is from RefSeq and is a predicted model, not a curated record.